Molecule: ribosomal RNA, 292 nt
Filed under: uncultured bacterium
Lineage: Bacteria
Description: partial 16S ribosomal RNA
Source: RNAcentral
GGACUACACGGGUAUCUAAUCCUGUUUGCUCCCCACGCUUUCGUGUCUCAGCGUCAGUAUUCGUCCAGUUGGCCGCCUUCGCCACCGAUGUUCCUCUCGAUAUCUACGAAUUUCACCUCUACACCGAGAAUUCCACCAACCUCUCCGAUACUCUAGCUACGCAGUAUCGAGUGCACUUCCAGGGUUGAGCCCUGGGCUUUCACACCCGACUUACAUAGCCGCCUACACACGCUUUACGCCCAGUAAUUCCGAACAACGUUUGCACCCUCUGUCUUACCGCGGCUGCUGGCAC